Molecule: long non-coding RNA, 220 nt
Filed under: Lathyrus oleraceus (garden pea)
Lineage: Eukaryota; Viridiplantae; Streptophyta; Magnoliopsida; Fabales; Fabaceae
Description: Pisum sativum (pea) long non-coding RNA (PSAT_LNC016509)
Source: RNAcentral
AAAGAAAGGGUAUGAUUAAGGGAAUUCAAACAAAAAUGCCUAUCCCAAGGGAGCAUUCCCAUAAAUUCAAACUCAACAACAAAUUCUAUUUUUGAUCCCAAUUUUUCUUCUUUUCUUAUUUUUCAACAACAAUACAACCAUGAGCUCUCUUUUUGUUUUUCUUUUUACUAGCUCCAUAAUUUCAAAGGUGACUUAUUGUUCUUGUUUCUUUUCACAAUUU